Molecule: small RNA, 1874 nt
Filed under: Oryza sativa Japonica Group (Japanese rice)
Lineage: Eukaryota; Viridiplantae; Streptophyta; Magnoliopsida; Poales; Poaceae
Description: sRNA Os09g0572950
Source: RNAcentral
CCAUGCGACAGAGUCGAUUUCAUCCCUAGCCGAUUUGUACAGCUCCAACCUCUUCCAGCAUUGCUGCCUACGCUCAAGCAUCGCUGGGUCCUCAUCCAAUUAACUACUACUACUAGUUAAUUAGUACCUCUUUCUUCCCGAUGUGCACGUAGAAAUGGUUAAGCAGAGACCUCUUGGCUUCUCGGACCUGACAGUGCACCACCGCCUUUGGGAUCUUGUGUAACAGUUGGUCUCCCACCAUCUUUAUGUACUGGGACACAUUGGACGCGAUAUUCCUGUAGUGCCCGUCGCCGUAGCGGUCCACUGUCACUGAGCCUGAGCCUGAGCCAUUGGAUUCAUUGGUAUUAUUCCCAACCUUGCUGCCACUAUCUGGAUCUUGCGGGAGUUUCCGGAAGAAUUCCACUGUCAAAUAUGCCUCCAUGUCAACAAGCCGAAGUGCAGUGCUACGUCCAUCCUCCCGAAACCUUUCCAGAGCUUCAUUAGCAGCAGUUGCAAUCGCAGCUUGCAGGGUAGGGAAUCUUCUCAGUGGCUGCAAUUACACAGAUGUAUAUAUAGAAAGUCAGCUACCGCAUCGACUGUAGCUUCAGCUGGUCCCUUGAAAUACGCAAGGCCGGCUUCAACAAGACGACGGUAACCUUGUUCAGGAGCAAUAAGAUGAGGCUGAUAGCCAUCUGCUUCUGAUACCACCUUCUUCACAUUUUGCACGGAUAGAUAACGAUCAAAAGGCAGCUUCCUAAAAGCGGCAGGGAGCUUAUGAUCAAACACGCCAUAAAUUUUAUCACCACCUGAUCUCCUGCAACAAUGUUCCUUGAAAACACGGUCAAAAGCACGACAGAGCUCCAAUAUAGUGUACAGUUGAGCCUGGCACAACAUUAUGGAAGCGCCACUUCUUUCCCAAUGGUAUCCAGCUCCGAUUCAAGUUCAUCUAUAGUUUUGUUGAUUAAUGAUGUGAUGCUAGGAAUGCGUGCUUUAAUAACGGCUUCAAGAUGCUGAAAAUCUUAGCUAGAUACACAGAACCCAUCUUACUGGCUAGGUGUGCAUAAUCAGGACUAUUUUCAAAAUACUCUCUUUCCUUUUCUCUUGCAACAAUCAUAUCAACUUUCCUGUUAAUAUCUGCUUGUGAGCGGUUGACAAUUCCAACCCACGGAUACUGAAGACGAUAGGCUCUUCCCUCAAGUACAUCAAGAGCGUUUGUUCCCUUGUCCAUCAAGUCCAACUUUGUCAACACACCGAAUGUCCUCUCACCUUUACCUGAUGGGUCAACCUCCUUCGAAAGCUUAAUGGCAUCAGAAGUGGCAAUGUCCUGGUUUGCUGGAGAUAUAGCCAAAAUGAUACAAUUGGGCUGCAAAAUAUCAUACAAAGUAACCUAUUAGCCUUGUAUAAGACAUAAUAGUGCAUACCUACAGCGACUUUUGUCAAUCCAGGAAGAUCAAUCAAUGUUAAGUUACCGUUGGGUGAGUAGAUGCUGAGAUGUAUUGGCACAGGGGAUAUUUGUUUAGUUUUCCCAGUCACUCUAUCUGUCUCAUCUGCAAUUUCUUGACGAACAAGAGCUACACCACAGUAGAGAAAAAUAAGUGGUGCUUGUAAGAACUCUGCAUAAUCGUGGGCCCCUUUGUCGAUCUGAUGCAGCUGAAGAACUAAUGGCCUCCGUUAUUAUAAUUACCAGAACCACGGGGAAGGAAAUCUCUGCCAACAAUGCUCUCUAGCACGGAGGACUUGCCCGAACUCUGGCCUCCGACGACGGCGAUGGUGGGGAGAGACUCCCAGAGGGUAGGGAGGUUGGCUCCUUCUCCACCUCCGUGGUCUCCGAGGGCGGUGCAGGCUCGCUGGAUGCGGUUCAUCAGGCCGAUCAGACCCUCCAUGCUCGCCAUCGC